RNAcentral lists this ribosomal RNA (199 nucleotides) under Helotiales sp. RNAcentral describes it as "partial large subunit ribosomal RNA". Lineage: Eukaryota; Fungi; Ascomycota; Leotiomycetes; Helotiales. The record is from RNAcentral.
AAGCGCUUGCAACCAGACUUGCACGCGGUUGAUCAUCCGGUGUUCUCACCGGUGCACUCGACCGUGUUCAGGCCAGCAUCGGUUCAGGUGGUGGGAUAAAGGCCUUGGGAAUGUAGCUUCUUUCGGGGAGUGUUAUAGCCUAUUGUAUAAUACCCUUAUGGGGACCGAGGUACGCGCUCUGCAAGGAUGCUGGCGUAAU